This 455-nucleotide ribosomal RNA is filed under the name uncultured organism. Its description in RNAcentral is "bacterial SSU rRNA". It matches the Rfam family "Bacterial small subunit ribosomal RNA", at positions 346 to 794 of the family's 1533-position model. The record is from RNAcentral.
GCGCAGCAGUCGCGAAUUUUUCUCAAUGGGCGAAAGCCUGAAGGAGCGACGCCGCGUGGGGGAUGAAUGGCUUCGGCCCGUAAACCCCUGUCAUUUGUGAACAAAUUGCUUCACCCAACACGUGAAGCAUUGAUAGUAACGGAAGAGGAAGGGACGGCUAACUCUGUGCCAGCAGCCGCGGUAAUACAGAGGUCCCAAGCGUUGUUCGGAUUCACUGGGCGUAAAGGGUGCGUAGGCGGUCGGGUAAGUCUGACGUGAAAUCUCCGGGCCUAACCCGGAAACUGCGUCGGAUACUAUCCGGCUAGAGGAUUGGAAGGGAGACUGGAAUACUUGGUGUAGCAGUGAAAUGCGUAGAUAUCAAGUGGAACACCAGUGGCGAAGGCGAGUCUCUGGACAAUUCCUGACGCUGAGGCACGAAAGCCAGGGGGGCAAACGGGAUUAGAUACCCCGGUAGU